CAUUCAGUUCAGUCUUUCUCUGAGUUUGAAUUAACACCAACAAUGAUUCUCUAUUUACCCAUCUUGAUUAUAGCUCUCACAGGUUGCGUCUGUGGGAAAGAGAUCUCUCCCAGCAGCACUGAGAUAUUGGCAAACGAGGGAUCCACAGUUACACUCUCCUGUACCUACAAAUCUGCCUCGAGUCUACAGUGGUACCGCCAGGAUCCCAGAUCAGCUCCACAGUUCCUACUGCUCAAGUUCAACUCCCCUGGGAAAGAGAGCUCUGAAACAGAUCCUCGGUUGUCUGUGAGGGUCAGUGAAGAGAAAACUGAAGUCUCUCUGCAGAUCUCCUCUGUUCAAGUCUCUGACUCUGCACUGUACUACUGUGCUCUGACGCCCACAAUGACACAAAAGCACAACUCUCCCUACAAAAACCUAACAGAGUGA
Molecule: non-coding RNA, 426 nt
Organism: Sardina pilchardus (European sardine)
Lineage: Eukaryota; Metazoa; Chordata; Actinopteri; Clupeiformes; Clupeidae
Source: the annotation of a RefSeq genome assembly